RNAcentral lists this ribosomal RNA (2304 nucleotides) under Vibrio parahaemolyticus. Its description in RNAcentral is "partial 23S ribosomal RNA". It matches the Rfam family "Bacterial large subunit ribosomal RNA", at positions 414 to 2705 of the family's 2925-position model. Lineage: Bacteria; Pseudomonadati; Pseudomonadota; Gammaproteobacteria; Vibrionales; Vibrionaceae. The record is from RNAcentral.
AGGGCGGGACACGUGAUAUCCUGUCUGAAUAUGGGGGGACCAUCCUCCAAGGCUAAAUACUACUGACUGACCGAUAGUGAACCAGUACCGUGAGGGAAAGGCGAAAAGAACCCCUGUGAGGGGAGUGAAAUAGAACCUGAAACCGUGUACGUACAAGCAGUAGGAGCAGGCUUUGUCCUGUGACUGCGUACCUUUUGUAUAAUGGGUCAGCGACUUAUAUUCAGUGGCAAGGUUAACCAUCUAGGGGAGCCGUAGGGAAACCGAGUCUUAACUGGGCGUUCAGUCUCUGGAUAUAGACCCGAAACCAGGUGAUCUAGCCAUGGGCAGGUUGAAGGUUGAGUAACAUCAACUGGAGGACCGAACCGACUAAUGUUGAAAAAUUAGCGGAUGACUUGUGGCUAGGGGUGAAAGGCCAAUCAAACCUGGAGAUAGCUGGUUCUCCCCGAAAGCUAUUUAGGUAGCGCCUCGGACGAAUACUACUGGGGGUAGAGCACUGUUAAGGCUAGGGGGUCAUCCCGACUUACCAACCCUUUGCAAACUCCGAAUACCAGUAAGUACUAUCCGGGAGACACACGGCGGGUGCUAACGUCCGUCGUGGAGAGGGAAACAACCCAGACCGCCAGCUAAGGUCCCAAAUUACUACUAAGUGGGAAACGAUGUGGGAAGGCUCAGACAGCCAGGAUGUUGGCUUAGAAGCAGCCAUCAUUUAAAGAAAGCGUAAUAGCUCACUGGUCGAGUCGGCCUGCGCGGAAGAUGUAACGGGGCUAAGUAGUAAACCGAAGCUGCGGCAAUGUGCUUUUGCACAUUGGGUAGGGGAGCGUUCUGUAAGCGGUUGAAGGUGUGUGGUAACGCAUGCUGGACGUAUCAGAAGUGCGAAUGCUGACAUGAGUAACGAUAAAGGGGGUGAAAAACCUCCUCGCCGGAAGACCAAGGGUUCCUGUCCAACGUUAAUCGGGGCAGGGUAAGUCGACCCCUAAGGCGAGGCCGAAAGGCGUAGUCGAUGGGAAACGGGUUAAUAUUCCCGUACUUCUUACAAUUGCGAUGGGGGGACGGAGAAGGCUAGGUGGGCCUGGCGACGGUUGUCCAGGUUCAAGUGCGUAGGCUUAAGAGUUAGGUAAAUCCGGCUCUUUUUAAGGCUGAGACACGACGUCGAGCACCUACGGGUGUGAAGUCAUUGAUGCCAUGCUUCCAGGAAAAGCCUCUAAGCUUCAGAUUGUAAGGAAUCGUACCCCAAACCGACACAGGUGGUCGGGUAGAGAAUACCAAGGCGCUUGAGAGAACUCGGGUGAAGGAACUAGGCAAAAUGGUACCGUAACUUCGGGAGAAGGUACGCUCUCGACGGUGAAGUCCCUCGCGGAUGGAGCUAUUGAGAGUCGCAGAUACCAGGUGGCUGCAACUGUUUAUUAAAAACACAGCACUGUGCAAAAUCGUAAGAUGACGUAUACGGUGUGACGCCUGCCCGGUGCCGGAAGGUUAAUUGAUGGGGUUAGACUUCGGUCGAAGCUCUUGAUCGAAGCCCCGGUAAACGGCGGCCGUAACUAUAACGGUCCUAAGGUAGCGAAAUUCCUUGUCGGGUAAGUUCCGACCUGCACGAAUGGCGUAAUGAUGGCCACGCUGUCUCCACCCGAGACUCAGUGAAAUUGAAAUCGCUGUGAAGAUGCAGUGUACCCGCGGCUAGACGGAAAGACCCCGUGAACCUUUACUACAGCUUGGCACUGAACAUUGACCCUACAUGUGUAGGAUAGGUGGGAGGCUUUGAAGCACGUACGCCAGUAUGUGUGGAGCCGUCCUUGAAAUACCACCCUUGUAGUGUUGAUGUUCUAACGUCGACCCCUUAUCGGGGUUGCGGACAGUGCCUGGUGGGUAGUUUGACUGGGGCGGUCUCCUCCCAAAGAGUAACGGAGGAGCACGAAGGUGGGCUAAUCACGGUUGGACAUCGUGAGGUUAGUGCAAUGGCAUAAGCCCGCUUGACUGCGAGAAUGACAAUUCGAGCAGGUGCGAAAGCAGGUCAUAGUGAUCCGGUGGUUCUGAAUGGAAGGGCCAUCGCUCAACGGAUAAAAGGUACUCCGGGGAUAACAGGCUGAUACCGCCCAAGAGUUCAUAUCGACGGCGGUGUUUGGCACCUCGAUGUCGGCUCAUCACAUCCUGGGGCUGAAGUCGGUCCCAAGGGUAUGGCUGUUCGCCAUUUAAAGUGGUACGCGAGCUGGGUUUAGAACGUCGUGAGACAGUUCGGUCCCUAUCUGCCGUGGGCGUUGGAAGAUUGAAGGGGGCUGCUCCUAGUACGAGAGGACCGGAGUGGACGAA